UACGUAGGGUGCGAGCGUUGUCCGGAAUUAUUGGGCGUAAAGAGCUUGUAGGCGGUUUGUCGCGUCUGCUGUGAAAAUCCGGGGCUCAACCCCGGACUUGCAGUGGGUACGGGCAGGCUAGAGUGUGGUAGGGGAGACUGGAAUUCCUGGUGUAGCGGUGGAAUGCGCAGAUAUCAGGAGGAACACCGGUGGCGAAGGCGGGUCUCUGGGCCGAAAUUGACGCUGAGGAGCGAAAGCGUGGGGAGCAAACAGG
This 253-nucleotide ribosomal RNA is filed under the name uncultured bacterium. RNAcentral's name for it is "partial 16S ribosomal RNA". It matches the Rfam family "Bacterial small subunit ribosomal RNA", at positions 524 to 776 of the family's 1533-position model. The record is from RNAcentral.